GAUGAAGAACGUAGCGAAAUGCGAUAAGUAAUGUGAAUUGCAGAAUUCAGUGAAUCAUCGAAUCUUCGAACGCACCUUGCACCCUUUGGUAUUCCGAAGGGUACGCCCGUUUGAGUGUCAUUGUAAUCUCACCCCGGAAUCUUUUUUGGUUUCGGAGUGGACUUGGACGCUGCCGUGUCAUGCGGCUCGUCUCGAACGUCUCAGUGUGCCCCGCCCUUUGGCGUAGACAGCGUGAUAAGUAUCUUCGCUUGUCGAGCCUCUUCGGAGGUGCGCCCUCGAGCAUGGGAAGCGUGCUGCAAACCGUCUUCGGACAACCUUUGACAAUUUGACCUCAGAUCGGGUGGGACUACCCGCUGAACUUAAGCAUAUCAAUAAGCGGAGGA
Molecule: unclassified non-coding RNA, 383 nt
Filed under: soil metagenome
Description: partial contains 5.8S ribosomal RNA, internal transcribed spacer 2, and large subunit ribosomal RNA
Rfam family: 5.8S ribosomal RNA (bases 1-120)
Source: RNAcentral